CCCUGCUUCCAGGAAAAGCCUCUAAGCAUCAGGUAACAUCAAAUCGUACCCCAAACCGACACAGGUGGUCAGGUAGAGAAUACCAAGGCGCUUGAGAGAACUCGGGUGAAGGAACUAGGCAAAAUGGUGCCGUAACUUCGGGAGAAGGCACGCUGAUAUGUAGGUGAAGCGACUUGCUCGUGGAGCUGAAAUCAGUCGAAGAUACCAGCUGGCUGCAACUGUUUAUUAAAAACACAGCACUGUGCAAACACGAAAGUGGACGUAUACGGUGUGACGCCUGCCCGGUGCCGGAAGGUUAAUUGAUGGGGUUAGCGGUAACGCGAAGCUCUUGAUCGAAGCCCCGGUAAACGGCGGCCGUAACUAUAACGGUCCUAAGGUAGCGAAAUUCCUUGUCGGGUAAGUUCCGACCUGCACGAAUGGCGUAAUGAUGGCCAGGCUGUCUCCACCCGAGACUCAGUGAAAUUGAACUCGCUGUGAAGAUGCAGUGUACCCGCGGCAAGACGGAAAGACCCCGUGAACCUUUACUAUAGCUUGACACUGAACAUUGAGCCUUGAUGUGUAGGAUAGGUGGGAGGCUUUGAAGUGUGGACGCCAGUCUGCAUGGAGCCGACCUUGAAAUACCACCCUUUAAUGUUUGAUGUUCUAACGUUGGCCCGUAAUCCGGGUUGCGGACAGUGUCUGGUGGGUAGUUUGACUGGGGCGGUCUCCUCCUAAAGAGUAACGGAGGAGCACGAAGGUUGGCUAAUCCUGGUCGGACAUCAGGAGGUUAGUGCAAUGGCAUAAGCCAGCUUGACUGCGAGCGUGACGGCGCGAGCAGGUGCGAAAGCAGGUCAUAGUGAUCCGGUGGUUCUGAAUGGAAGGGCCAUCGCUCAACGGAUAAAAGGUACUCCGGGGAUAACAGGCUGAUACCGCCCAAGAGUUCAUAUCGACGGCGGUGUUUGGCACCUCGAUGUCGGCUCAUCACAUCCUGGGGCUGAAGUAGGUCCCAAGGGUAUGGCUGUUCGCCAUUUAAAGUGGUACGCGAGCUGGGUUUAGAACGUCGUGAGACAGUUCGGUCCCUAUCUGCCGUGGGCGCUGGAGAACUGAGGGGGGCUGCUCCUAGUACGAGAGGACCGGAGUGGACGCAUCACUGGUGUUCGGGUUGUCAUGCCAAUGGCACUGCCCGGUAGCUAAAUGCGGAAGAGAUAAGUGCUGAAAGCAUCUAAGCACGAAACUUGCCCCGAGAUGAGUUCUCCCUGACUCCUUGAGGGUCCUGAAGGAACGUUGAAGACGACGACGUUGAUAGGCCGGGUGUGUAAGCGCAGCGAUGCGUUGAGCUAACCGGUACUAAUGAACCGUGAGGCUUAACCUUACAACGCCGAAG
This 1363-nucleotide ribosomal RNA is filed under the name Escherichia coli. RNAcentral's name for it is "partial 23S ribosomal RNA". It matches the Rfam family "Bacterial large subunit ribosomal RNA", at positions 1600 to 2925 of the family's 2925-position model. Lineage: Bacteria; Pseudomonadati; Pseudomonadota; Gammaproteobacteria; Enterobacterales; Enterobacteriaceae. The record is from RNAcentral.